Molecule: ribosomal RNA, 221 nt
Filed under: Geobacillus stearothermophilus
Lineage: Bacteria; Bacillati; Bacillota; Bacilli; Caryophanales; Anoxybacillaceae
Description: partial 16S ribosomal RNA
Rfam family: Bacterial small subunit ribosomal RNA
Source: RNAcentral
UCUUUGGAGAGUUUGAUCCUGGCUCAGGACGAACGCUGGCGGCGUGCCUAAUACAUGCAAGUCGAGCGGACCGAACGAGGGCUUGCUCUUGUUUGGUCAGCGGCGGACGGGUGAGUAACACGUGGGCAACCUGCCCGCAAGACCGGGAUAACUCCGGGAAACCGGAGCUAAUACCGGAUAACACCGAAGACCGCAUGGUCUUCGGUUGAAAGGCGGCCUUU